CUCGUAGGCGGUUCGUCGCGUCCGGUGUGAAAGUCCAUCGCUUAACGGUGGAUCCGCGCCGGGUACGGGCGGGCUUGAAUGCGGUAGGGGAGACUGGAAUUCCCGGUGUAACGGUGGAAUGUGUAGAUAUCGGGAAGAACACCAAUGGCGAAGGCAGGUCUCUGGGCCGUUACUGACGCUGAGGAGCGAAAGCGUGGGGAGCGAACA
This 207-nucleotide ribosomal RNA is filed under the name uncultured bacterium. RNAcentral's name for it is "partial 16S ribosomal RNA". It matches the Rfam family "Bacterial small subunit ribosomal RNA", at positions 568 to 774 of the family's 1533-position model. The record is from RNAcentral.